AUUCUUUUAGUAUUAAUUAGUACACCUGACCUCCAAUCAGACAGUUCUGGUAUAACCACAGAAAAGAAUA
Molecule: transfer RNA, 70 nt
Filed under: Eospalax fontanierii cansus
Lineage: Eukaryota; Metazoa; Chordata; Mammalia; Rodentia; Spalacidae
Description: tRNA-Gly
Source: RNAcentral